This 460-nucleotide ribosomal RNA is filed under the name uncultured bacterium. RNAcentral's name for it is "partial 16S ribosomal RNA". It matches the Rfam family "Bacterial small subunit ribosomal RNA", at positions 338 to 795 of the family's 1533-position model. The record is from RNAcentral.
CCUACGGGAGGCUGCAGUGAGGAAUAUUGGUCAAUGGACGAGAGUCUGAACCAGCCAAGUAGCGUGAAGGAUGACUGCCCUAUGGGUUGUAAACUUCUUUUAUAUGGGAAUAAAACGUUCCACGUGUGGGAUUUUGUAUGUACCAUAUGAAUAAGGCUCGGCUAACUCCGUGCCAGCAGCCGCGGUAAUACGGAGGAUCCGAGCGUUAUCCGGAUUUAUUGGGUUUAAAGGGAGCGUAUGUGGAUUGUUAAGUCAGUUGUGAAAGUUUGCGGCUCAACCGUAAAAUUGCAGUUGAAACUGGCAGUCUUGAGUACAGUAGAGGUGGGCGGAAUUCGUGGUGUAGCGGUGAAAUGCUUAGAUAUCACGAAGAACUCCGAUUGCGAAGGCAGUUCACUGGACUGCAACUGACACUGAGGAUCGAAAGUGUGGGUAUCAAACAGGAUUAGAUACCCUUGUAGUC